UACGUAGGGGGCUAGCGUUGUCCGGAAUCAUUGGGCGUAAAGAGCGUGUAGGCGGCCCGGUAAGUCCGCUGUGAAAGUCGGGGGCUCAACCCUCGAAUGCCGGUGGAUACUGUCGGGCUAGAGUGCGGAAGAGGCGAGUGGAAUUCCUGGUGUAGCGGUGAAAUGCACAGAUAUCAGGAGGAACACCGAUUGCGAAGGCAGCUCGCUGGGACGUUACUGACGCUGAGACGCGAAAGCGUGGGGAGCAAACAGG
RNAcentral lists this ribosomal RNA (253 nucleotides) under uncultured bacterium. RNAcentral describes it as "partial 16S ribosomal RNA". It matches the Rfam family "Bacterial small subunit ribosomal RNA", at positions 524 to 776 of the family's 1533-position model. The record is from RNAcentral.